This 303-nucleotide ribosomal RNA is filed under the name uncultured bacterium. RNAcentral's name for it is "partial 16S ribosomal RNA". It matches the Rfam family "Bacterial small subunit ribosomal RNA", at positions 507 to 807 of the family's 1533-position model. The record is from RNAcentral.
AGCAGUAGCCACGGGAAUACGGAGGGAGCUAGCGUUGUUCGGAAUUACUGGGCGUAAAGCGCACGUAGGCGGCUUUGUAAGUUAGAGGUGAAAGCCUGGAGCUCAACUCCAGAAUUGCCUUUAAGACUGCAUCGCUUGAAUCCAGGAGAGGUGAGUGGAAUUCCGAGUGUAGAGGUGAAAUUCGUAGAUAUUCGGAAGAACACCAGUGGCGAAGGCGGCUCACUGGACUGGUAUUGACGCUGAGGUGCGAAAGCGUGGGGAGCAAACAGGAUUAGAUACCCCGGUAGUCCCUGUCUCUUAUAC